This 377-nucleotide unclassified non-coding RNA is filed under the name uncultured bacterium. RNAcentral describes it as "contains 16S-23S intergenic spacer region". The record is from RNAcentral.
UCCGGUUUGUCACCGGCAGUCAUCCUAGAGUGCCCAACCAAAUGCUGGCAACUAAGAUCAAGGGUUGCGCUCGUUGCGGGACUUAACCCAACAUCUCACGACACGAGCUGACGACAACCAUGCACCACCUGUCUCUCUUGUCCCGAAGGCCUACAUUAUCUCUAAUGUAUUCAAGAGGAUGUCAAGACCUGGUAAGGUUCUUCGCGUUGCUUCGAAUUAAACCACAUACUCCACUGCUUGUGCGGGUCCCCGUCAAUUCCUUUGAGUUUUAGCCUUGCGGCCGUACUCCCCAGGCGGGGUGCUUAAUGCGUUAGCUUCGGCACGGACGGAGUCGACACCGCCCACACCUAGCACCCAUCGUUUACGGCGUGGACUAC